GGAUCUCAAGAGGUGCCCUUCCAGCAAGGAGAGUGUGUCCCUGCUGGUAGCUAUGUGCAAUCUAGCUCUUUUUCACAAGAAACGCAGCCGGCACCACAACACAUGUUCCUGAUGCCCAGAAAGGCCUAGGAAAUGUCUUCUAUAUGGGAACAGGCUGCUGGGCAGGGUUAAUGGCAGGCCUACUUCUGUUGGACCUUGUUCUCAUAUUGUGCUGUGUCAGAAUCUGGUGUAACUGGAAGAAGAAAUGGAGCACCUCUGGACAGGAGUUUAAAGACGGUGGCUGCACCUCACUCCCAGACAGCUUGAGCUGCUCCUCUGGCCGUCAUAAGGGCCUGGACAGCCCUCUCACCUGUUCUGUGUAGGGAACCGAAGAUCAGCCAUCUACAAGGAAACCUCCUUUUACCCUGUAGAUCCCACUGCCACCUGCUCUCCCCAUGGGUCUCCCCAAGAUGACUUCAUCCCUUUUUUGAUCUCCCUGCAUCCCAUCCCAGCCAAUUCUCAAGUUCUUCUGGAGACCCCAGGCCCAGCUGAGCACCCUCCAGCCCCUCCUGAGACCAACACAUCCCUUCCUCUGCCCCUGAGCUCCCUGGCCUUGC
Long non-coding RNA from Passer domesticus (house sparrow), 596 nucleotides. RefSeq lists it as uncharacterized. Lineage: Eukaryota; Metazoa; Chordata; Aves; Passeriformes; Passeridae. The record is from RefSeq and is a predicted model, not a curated record. The transcript is spliced from 3 exons.